CCAGACUCCUACGGGAGGCAGCAGUGAGGAAUAUUGGUCAAUGGGCUUACGCCUGAACCAGCCAAGUCGCGUGAGGGAAGACGGCCCUACGGGUUGUAAACCUCUUUUGUCGGGGAGCAAAGCGAGUCACGUGUGACUCAUUGAGAGUACCCGAAGAAAAAGCAUCGGCUAACUCCGUGCCAGCAGCCGCGGUAAUACGGAGGAUGCGAGCGUUAUCCGGAUUUAUUGGGUUUAAAGGGUGCGUAGGCGGACUGGAAAGUCAGCGGUAAAAUCGAGAGGCUCAACCUCUUUCCGCCGUUGAAACUGUCGGUCUUGAGUGGGCGAGAAGUAUGCGGAAUGCGUGGUGUAGCGGUGAAAUGCAUAGAUAUCACGCAGAACUCCGAUUGCGAAGGCAGCAUACCGGCGCCCGACUGACGCUGAGGCACGAAAGCGUGGGUAUCGAACAGGAUUAGAUACCCCUGUA
RNAcentral lists this ribosomal RNA (463 nucleotides) under uncultured bacterium. Its description in RNAcentral is "bacterial SSU rRNA". It matches the Rfam family "Bacterial small subunit ribosomal RNA", at positions 331 to 792 of the family's 1533-position model. The record is from RNAcentral.